Molecule: long non-coding RNA, 368 nt
Filed under: Homo sapiens (human)
Lineage: Eukaryota; Metazoa; Chordata; Mammalia; Primates; Hominidae
Description: non-protein coding lnc-CTSZ-2:8
Source: RNAcentral
ACCCACCCCGCCCUCCCAGCGGCGCGCGCCCGCCGAGGUAGGUGUCAGAGAGCCGAAUUCGAAUUAUUUGCGACGCCCGGACGGAGUUUCGUAUCUUCGGACGAGAAAAGUGCGAUGGGAGUGCAAAGCCUCCCCUGCUCGAAGCAGCAGGCGCGCCGGUGUCACGGGAGCCGAGGAGCGGUGGCCGUGGCUGUGGAGUCGGUGCUCGAGGCGUCCUCCCAGGUGGACACACAACUUGGAUAUCAACAGGGAGCAGAAAACAAACCCACUAGCAGGACCAAAAGGCAGACCCAUCAGCAGAACACAGGCGGCAGCUUCCACAAGUAACUCCAAAACUGAAAGUCAAAUCCAGGAGAAGACUGAGGAAG